GAUGAACGCUAGCGGCAGGCCUAACACAUGCAAGUCGAGGGAGAAGCCCUUUCGGGGGCAGAAACCGGCGCACGGGUGCGUAACGCGUAUGCAACCUACCUUUCACAGGGGGAUAGCCCGAAGAAAUUUGGAUUAAUACCCCAUAAUAUUAUUGGAUGGCAUCAUUUGAUAAUUAAAACUGCGGUGGUGAAAGAUGGGCAUGCGUCCUAUUAGCUAGUUGGAGUGGUAACGGCACCCCAAGGCUACGAUAGGUAGGGGUCCUGAGAGGGAGAUCCCCCACACUGGUACUGAGACAGGGACCAGACUCCUACGGGAGGCAGCAGUGAGGAAUAUUGGUCAAUGGUCGGAAGACUGAACCAGCCAUGCCGCGUGCAGGAAGAAUGCCUUAUGGGUUGUAAACUGCUUUUAUAUGGGAAGAAUAAGGUGUACGUGUACAUUGAUGACGGUACCAUAUGAAUAAGCAGCGGCUAACUCCGUG
This 478-nucleotide ribosomal RNA is filed under the name uncultured bacterium. Its description in RNAcentral is "partial 16S ribosomal RNA". It matches the Rfam family "Bacterial small subunit ribosomal RNA", at positions 28 to 507 of the family's 1533-position model. The record is from RNAcentral.